This 735-nucleotide small RNA is filed under the name uncultured fungus. Its description in RNAcentral is "SSU rRNA". It matches the Rfam family "Eukaryotic small subunit ribosomal RNA", at positions 316 to 1064 of the family's 1831-position model. The record is from RNAcentral. Lineage: Eukaryota; Fungi.
AUCAACUUUCGAUGGUAGGAUAGAGGCCUACCAUGGUGGUAACGGGUAACGGGGUGUUAGGGCACGACACCGGAGAGGGAGCCUGAGAAACAGCUACCACAUCCAAGGAUGGCAGCAGGCGCGCAAAUUACCCAAUCCCGACACGGGGAGGUAGUGACAAUAAAUAACAAUACGGGGUUCUUUAGGAUUUCGUAAUUGGAAUGAGUACAAUUUAAAUCUCUUAACGAGGAACAAUUGGAGGGCAAGUCUGGUGCCAGCAGCCGCGGUAAUUCCAGCUCCAAUAGCGUAUAUUAAAGUUGUUGCAGUUAAAAAGCUCGUAGUUGAAUUUCGGGGUUAGUAAGUUGGUCGUGCCUUUGGUAUGUACURACUUUACUGAUUCCUCCUUCUUGUAGAACCUUAAUGCCAUUAAUUUGGUGUUGUGGGGAAACAGGACUGUUACUUUGAAAAAAUUAGAGUGUUUAAAGCAAGCUAACRCUUGAAUACAUUAGCAUGGAAUAAUGAAAUAGGACGAUUGAUCCUAUUUUGUUGGUUUCUAGGAUUGACGUAAUGAUUAAUAGGGAUAGUUGGGGGCAUUAGUAUUCAAUUGUCAGAGGUGAAAUUCUUGGAUUUAUUGAAGACUAACUACYGCGAAAGCAUUUGCCAAGGAUGUUUUCRUUAAUCAAGAACGAAAGUUAGGGGAUCGAAGACRAUCAGAUACCGUCGUAGUCUUAACCAUAAACUAUGCCGACUAGGGAU